UCAAACGAGGAAAGGCUUACGGUGGAUACCUAGCACCAAGAGACGAGAAGGGCGCGUAGUAAGCGACGAAAUGCUUCAGGGAGUUGAAAAUAGCGUAGAUCCCGGAGAUUUCCGAAUAGGUCAACCCUUUCAAACUGCUGCUGAAUCCAUGGGGCAGGCAAGAGACAACUGGCGAACUGAAACAUCUUAGUAACCAGAGGAAAAGAAGCAAAAGCGAUUCCGUAGUAGCGCGAGCGAGCGAAAAUGGAGCAGCUAUAACCGGUUGUGAAAACGGGGUAUGUGGGAGAGCUAAUACAAGCGUCGUGCUGCUAGGCGAAGCGGUGGAGUGCUGCACCUAGAUGGCGAGAGGUCCAGUAGCCCGAAGCAUCCCUAGCUUACGCUCUGACGCCGAGUUAGCAUGGGGCACGUGGAAUCCCGUGUGAAUCAGCAAGACCACUUUGCAAGGCUAAAUACUCCUGGGUGAACCGAUAGAAGUAGUACCGUGAGGGAAGGUGAAAAGAACCCCAUCGGGGAGUGCAAUAGAACAUGAUAACCGUAAGCUCCAAGCAGUGGGAGGAGCCCGGGGAGGAGCCCGGGGCUCUGACCGCGUGCCUGUUGAGAAUGAGCUGUGCGACUCAUAUGGCAGUGCUUGGUUAAGGGAACCCACCGGAGCCGUAGCGAAAGCGAGUCUUCGUAGGGCAAUCUGUCACUGCUUAUGGACCCGAACCUGGGUGAUCUAUUGCCAUGACAGGAUGAAGCUUGGUGAAACUAAGUUGGAGGGUCCGAACCGACUGAUGUUGAAGAAUUCAGCGCGGAUGAGUUUGUUGGGUUAGGUAAAUGCCACUCGAAGCCAGAGCUAGCUGGUUCUCCCGAAAUGCGUUGAGGCGCAGCAAGUUGACUGGACAUCUAGGGUUUAAAGCACUGUUUCGGUGCGGGCGCGAGAGCGUACCAAAUCGAGGGCAAACUCUGAAUACUAGAUAUUGACCUCAAAUAACAGGGUUAAGGUCGGCCAGUGAGACGAUGGGGAUAAGCUUCAUCGGUCGAGAGGGAAACAGCCCGGAUCACCAGCUAAGGCCCUAAAAUGAUCGCUCUCAGUGAUAAAGGAGUAGGGGUGCGAGACAGAGGAGGUUUGCCUAGAAGCAAGCACCCUUGACCAAGAGUGCGUUAAUAGCUCACUGAUCGAGCGCUCUUGCGCCGAAAUGAACGUUGCUAAGCGAUCUGCCGAAGCUGUGGGAAUGUAAAAAUGCAUCGGUUAGUGGGAGCGAAUUCAGCCUUAAGGGAAGCACCCGCGCGAGCAGGGUGGACGAGCGGAAGCGCAGAAUGUUCGGCUUGAGUAACGCAAAACAUUGGUGAGAAUCUAAGCCCGAAAACCUAAGGUUCUCCGCAAGUUCGUCCACGGAGGGUGAGUCAGGCCUAGAUCGACGAAGGGUAGUCGAUGGAAAAAGGUGAAUAAUUCCCUGUACACCCCUUGUUGGUCCCGAGACGGAGGAGGCUAGUAAGUUAGCCGAAGAUGCGUUAUCGUUCAAGGAGCACGGUGUCCCUGCUUGUUCAGCGGUAAAAGGGUAGAGGAAAAUUGCUCGAGCCAAUGUUCGAGUACAGGCGCUACGGCGCUGAAGUAACCAUUGCCAUGACUCCAGGAAAAGCUCGAACGACCUUCAACAAAGGGUACUGUACCGAAACCGACACAGGUGGGUAGGGAGAGAUACCUAGGGGCGCGAGGACAACGUCUCUCUAAGGAACUCGGCAAAAUAGACCGUAACUUGGAGAAGGGUGCCCCCUCACAAGGGGUCGCAGUGACCAGGCUCGGGACUGUUUUACCAAACACAGGUCUCGCAAGGUCGUAAGUACCAUUUAGGGGCUGACGCCUGCCAGUGGCCGAAGGUCAAGGAAGUGGUUGACUAUGACAGGGGAGCGGCAACGACAGCCCGGUGAGACGGCGCCUAACAUAACGGUCUAAGGUAGCGAAAUUCCUUGUCGGGUAAGUUUCCGGACCCGCACGAAAGCUAACGAUCUGGCACUGUCUCGGAGAGAGGCUCGGUGAAAUAGACAUGUCUGUGAAGAUGCGGACUACCUGCACCUGGCGAAAGACCCUUAUUGAAGUUCACUGUUCCUGGAUUGGCUGGCCUUCUGCCCUUAGGUGGAAGGCAAGAAGGCCCCUUCAGGGGGGUCAAGCCAUCAGUGAGAUACCCUCUGAGAGCUAGAUUCUAACCUGUGUCAGACUACGGCAAGGACGUCUCAGGUUAGAAGUUUCUAUGGGCGUUAGGCCUCCAAAGGACGGAGCGUGCAAAGGUUUCUCGGGCCGGACGGAGAUUGGCCUCGAGUGCAAAGGCAGAGGAGCUUGACUGCAGACCACCCGUCGAGCAGGGACGAAGUCGGCCUUAGUGAUCCGACGGUUGCCGAGUGAGAAGGGCCGUCGCUAACGGAUAAAAGUUUACUCUAGAUAACAGGUUGUCUUCCAAGAAGUCACAUCGACGGGAAGGUUUGGACUCGAUGUCGGCUCUUCGCCACUGGGGAUGUAGUAGUCCAAGGGUUGGCUGUUGCCCAUUAAGCGGCGUGAGCUGGGUUAGGACGUCGUAACAGUUCGGUCCAUAUCGGUGUGGGCGUUAGAGCAUUGAGAGGAGCCUUCCCAGUUACGAGAACCGGGAGGACGCACCUCUGUUGGUUGUCAGUUAUCGUGCCCACGGUAAACGCUGGGUAGCCAAGUGCGAGCGGAUAACUGCUGAAAGCAUCUAAGAGUAAGCCCACCCAAGAGAGUGCUUCUAUUCGACUUCCAGCAGCCCGUUAGCACGCCUAGACAGCGAGGGAGUUUAUCGCCCUGGGGGAUGGAGCGGACAGAAGUUUUGAGAAAUUCAAGAGAAGGUCCGCGAGCAGCGUUUAUCU
RNAcentral lists this ribosomal RNA (2859 nucleotides) under Rhizophora apiculata. Its description in RNAcentral is "bacterial LSU rRNA". It matches the Rfam family "Bacterial large subunit ribosomal RNA". The record is from RNAcentral. Lineage: Eukaryota; Viridiplantae; Streptophyta; Magnoliopsida; Malpighiales; Rhizophoraceae.